GAUGAACGCUAGCUACAGGCUUAACACAUGCAAGUCGAGGGGAAACGACAUUGGAAGCUUGCUUCCGAUGGGCGUCGACCGGCGCACGGGUGAGUAACGCGUAUCCAACCUGCCCACCACUUGGAGAUAACCUUGCGAAAGUAAGACUAAUACCCAAUGAUAUCCCACGAAGGCAUCGGAAUGGGAUUAAAGAUUUAUCGGUGAUGGAUGGGGAUGCGUCUGAUUAGCUUGUUGGCGGGGUAACGGCCCACCAAGGCAACGAUCAGUAGGGGUUCUGAGAGGAAGGUCCCCCACAUUGGAACUGAGACACGGUCCAAACUCCUACGGGAGGCAGCAGUGAGGAAUAUUGGUCAAUGGUCGCGAGACUGAACCAGCCAAGUAGCGUGCAGGACGACGGCCCUCUGGGGUUGUAAACUGCUUUUAGUGGAAUAAAAGGCGGUACGUGUACCGCGUAUUGUAUGUACCAUCAGAAAAAGGACCGGCUAAAUUCCGUG
This 494-nucleotide ribosomal RNA is filed under the name uncultured bacterium. Its description in RNAcentral is "bacterial SSU rRNA". It matches the Rfam family "Bacterial small subunit ribosomal RNA", at positions 28 to 507 of the family's 1533-position model. The record is from RNAcentral.